GAUUAUUUUGCAAUGUUACAGGAAAUAUUCUUCGUUCAUUCAGCUGGCAUCAGCAGGAAAUCCAAGCAUAUUAAUGAAUAAUUAAUGGAAAUGAAGCAGUUGGAACAGAUGAAUGUUUGGCAAUAAACUAUUAAAGAAACCUGGGAUCAACAGGAAUUAAAGUAAAAAGCAGAAUACCAACCCAAGAACCUGCACAAUGGCAGAGUUUCCUGGAGAAUCUGCUCCAUGAUGUUGCUGGUCACAGAGUUGAGACUGACUGGAGUGUUCCUCAGGCCUUCCUUUUUCCUCUUCUAAGAGCAAGGGUUAUUGUUGUAGUGCGUUUUUAUACUUUGUAAUACUUUGAAGUAGUUUUGUUUUGUAUUCCCAUAUUUUUCCCAAAUGGUUUAUCCCAGACUGUACUCCCCUCCCUUUACCUGUGUUAUCCCUCUCCCGGGAUGAGAUCAUCCCCAAACCCCCACCCUGGCUCUCUGUCAAUCACUCAGCAUCCCAU
Molecule: non-coding RNA, 490 nt
Organism: Agelaius phoeniceus (red-winged blackbird)
Lineage: Eukaryota; Metazoa; Chordata; Aves; Passeriformes; Icteridae
Source: RefSeq, a predicted model, not a curated record